CCAGGAGGCUGGGCAGCCGCGUCGGAGCGUAAGUUUCGCCGAGGAAAGUCCGGGCUCCACGAAACAAGGGUGGCGGGUAACGCCCGCCGGGUGAGGAGGUUCGCUUCCGAGCUCAGGGAAAGUGCCACAGAGAGUAUACCGCCGAUGGCCCGCGCUCCUGCUUGCAGGUUUGGGGGCACAGGCAAGGGUGAAAGGGUGCGGCAAGAGCGCACCGGGCGACCGGCAACGGAAGCCGCAUGGCAAACCCCACCCGGAGCAAGACCGCAUAGGGGUCUCGAGCCUUUUAGGCAGGGGAGUUUCGCCCCGAGAGACCCGGGUUGGUUGCUAGAGUGGCGGAGCAAUCCGUCGCCAAGAUGAAUGGCUGCCCCCACGUGGCCGGUCCCCUAGGGGAUACCGCGCGCGGGACAGAACCCGGCUUACAGGCCUCCUGGCACU
This 435-nucleotide RNase P RNA is filed under the name Altererythrobacter sp. Root672. RNAcentral describes it as "Bacterial RNase P class A". It matches the Rfam family "Bacterial RNase P class A". From Rfam's summary of the family: Ribonuclease P (RNase P) is a ubiquitous endoribonuclease, found in archaea, bacteria and eukarya as well as chloroplasts and mitochondria. Its best characterised activity is the generation of mature 5'-ends of tRNAs by cleaving the 5'-leader elements of precursor-tRNAs. Cellular RNase Ps are ribonucleoproteins. Lineage: Bacteria; Pseudomonadati; Pseudomonadota; Alphaproteobacteria; Sphingomonadales; Erythrobacteraceae. The record is from Rfam by way of RNAcentral.